This 467-nucleotide ribosomal RNA is filed under the name uncultured bacterium. RNAcentral describes it as "partial 16S ribosomal RNA". It matches the Rfam family "Bacterial small subunit ribosomal RNA", at positions 28 to 507 of the family's 1533-position model. The record is from RNAcentral.
GACGAACGCUGGCGGCGUGCUUAACACAUGCAAGUCGAACGGAAAGGCCCUGCUUUUGUGGGGUGCUCGAGUGGCGAACGGGUGAGUAACACGUGAGUAACCUGCCCUUGACUUUGGGAUAACUUCAGGGAACUGGGCUAAUACCGGAUAGGAGCUCCUGCUGCAUGGUGGGGGUUGGAAAGUUUCGGCGGUUGGGGAUGGACUCGCGGCUUAUCAGCUUGUUGGUGGGGUAGUGGCUUACCAAGGCUUUGACGGGUAGCCGGCCUGAGAGGGUGACCGGCCACAUUGGGACUGAGAUACGGCCCAGACUCCUACGGGAGGCAGCAGUGGGGAAUAUUGCACAAUGGGCGGAAGCCUGAUGCAGCAACGCCGCGUGCGGGAUGACGGCCUUCGGGUUGUAAACCGCUUUCGCCUGUGACGAAGCGUGAGUGACGGUAAUGGGUAAAGAAGCACCGGCUAACUACGUG